CGCUGAACAAGGAUCACUUUUAAUGGGCUGAAUACAUACAACACACAGCUGACAACAAAGAUGUUCGACUAACCUAACACGAGAGGGAAACAGCAACAGCACACAGGCCACUGGGAUUGCUCAGUUCGGUCCCCAGACAGAGGGAUGGGAGCAGCACCCGAGGGGCAUCUCUGGAAGAUGGAAUUAAGCCUCGGCGUGUUUGGUUUGGCCUCCUGUGUCAGCGACAUGAAAGCCUUGGCUAUAAAUACACCCCGUGUCUCCGAAGGCUUCGUGGCGUUUUCCUGCCCGUGCUCUUGGUCCCUUUGGGAAGCCGGGAGCUGGGAGGAGCACAUCAGCCGGCUCCGGCUCCAGCGAUGCCGGCGGAGCGGUUCCCAGCCUGGGACA
Corapipo altera (White-ruffed manakin) is the source of this 384-nucleotide long non-coding RNA. RefSeq lists it as uncharacterized. NCBI's taxonomy places the organism in Eukaryota, Metazoa, Chordata, Aves, Passeriformes, Pipridae. The transcript has 3 exons. The record is from RefSeq and is a predicted model, not a curated record.